GUCUACAGCCAUGCCCCCCUGAACACGCCCAAUCCUGUGUGAUUUUGGAAGCUAAGCAGGGUUGGGCCUGGUUAGUACUUGGAUGGAAGACCAGGUGCUGUCGGCG
RNAcentral lists this ribosomal RNA (106 nucleotides) under Pteropus alecto (black flying fox). Lineage: Eukaryota; Metazoa; Chordata; Mammalia; Chiroptera; Pteropodidae. The record is from RNAcentral.